GGGUGAUCUGCCCUGCACUUCGGGAUAAGCCUGGGAAACUGGGUCUAAUACCGGAUAUGACCUCCUGUUGCAUGACUUGNGGUGGAAAGAUUUAUCGGUGCAGGAUGGGCCCGCGGCCUAUCAGCUUGUUGGUGGGGUAAUGGCCUACCAAGGCGACGACGGGUAGCCGACCUGAGAGGGUGACCGGCCACACUGGGACUGAGACACGGCCCAGACUCCUACGGGAGGCAGCAGUGGGGAAUAUUGCACAAUGGGCGAAAGCCUGAUGCAGCGACGCCGCGUGAGGGAUGACGGCCUUCGGGUUGUAAACCUCUUUCAGCAGGGACGAAGCGCAAGUGACGGUACCUGCAGAAGAAGCACCGGCUAACUACGUGCCAGCAGCCGCGGUAAUACGUAGGGUGCAAGCGUUGUCCGGAAUUACUGGGCGUAAAGAGUUCGUAGGCGGUUUGUCGCGUCGUUUGUGAAAACCAGCAGCUCAACUGCUGGCUUGCAGGCGAUACGGGCAGACUUGAGUACUGCAGGGGAGACUGGAAUUCCUGGU
This 541-nucleotide ribosomal RNA is filed under the name Rhodococcus sp. AMS67. Its description in RNAcentral is "bacterial SSU rRNA". It matches the Rfam family "Bacterial small subunit ribosomal RNA", at positions 119 to 674 of the family's 1533-position model. Lineage: Bacteria; Bacillati; Actinomycetota; Actinomycetes; Mycobacteriales; Nocardiaceae. The record is from RNAcentral.